This 1564-nucleotide small RNA is filed under the name Pongo abelii (Sumatran orangutan). Its description in RNAcentral is "unitary pseudogene". The record is from RNAcentral. Lineage: Eukaryota; Metazoa; Chordata; Mammalia; Primates; Hominidae.
CAUGGCUCUGCAGUCCACAGACUCUGAGUUGGAGGCGAAGGAGUCUGGGAUCACGCAGGAGCUAAUCAAGUCCUUGUACCCUCAGCAGACACGCAUCUGUGCAUGGUGCUGGACCUGCAUCAUCCUCGUGGGUACGAAUGUCCUGCAUUGCCUUCCUCUUCGUCUGGCCAGUGGCCAUGCUUUCCACCUUUGGCUAUCCUGCUCAAAUCCUGCAACCCUGCCAAGAGUUGGAGAAAAAAAACAGGUGAAACCAGUACUCAAGCUCAUGCUUCAGGUGGCUUUCUUUUUAGCUGGGUUCCUGGCUAAAGUGAAAGGGAAAAAGGCAACCCAAGACAAGGCCCCUAUCUUCGUUACAGCACCACGGUCCACUUUCUUUGACUCAAUCCCCUGUGUGGUGGCGGGGUUACCCUCAGUGGUCUCUGCAAGUCAAAAUGUGCAGAUCCCAUUGGCUGGGAAAUUCCUACUGUCAACACAGCUGGUGCUUGUGAUCCGAGAAGACCCCAAUUCCAGGAAGAAUACUAAGGAUGAAAUCUUGAAGUGAGUGACAUUUGGAAAGAAGUGGCCACAGAUUCUGAUUUUCCUAGAAGGUGUGUGCACCAAUCGCUCCCGUCUAGUCACUUUUAAACUAGAGGCCUUCUGUCCAGGUGUUCCUGUGUAGCCAGUGCUGCUCAGGUACCCAAACACCCUGGACAUGGCAAUCUGGAUCUGGCAGGGAUUUACAGCCUUCCAGGCCUGUAUGUUGACACUCAGUCAACUCUUCACCAGGGUAGAAGUUGAGUUUAUGCCUGUUUAUAUCCCAAAUGAUGAAGAAAAAAAAGACCCCAUCCUUUUUGCCAAUACAGUACACAUCAGACACGGCAAAUGCUCUAGGGGUGCCUGGGACAGGGCACACUUACAAAGACUGCAGACUGAUGAUCUCUGCAGGUAACCUUCAACUACCCAUAGAACUGGCUUGGUGGAAUUUACAAAAAUUAACCAGAAGUUGAAGUUAGAUAGGGAUAACAUUCAUCAGCAUUUGGAUGAAUAUGCUGCAAUUGCAGUUGCCUCAAAAGGAGGGAAGACAGGAAUUGAAGAAUUUUCAAGUUAUUUAAAACUCCCAAUUUCAGAGCCCUUGAGACAACCCCCUGCCCUCUUUGGCAGGAAUAAUGAUGGCAGCAUAGACUUCAGAGAGUAUGUAAUAGGUCUGACUGUUCUAUGCAAUCCUGCCAACAUUGAAAAGAGUCUGCAAAUAUCCUUUAAGCUUUUUGAUCUUGAUGCGGAUGGUUUAAUAACAGAACAGGAGUUCGCUGCUAUACUUCAGGCAGCUUUUGGAGUGCCAGAUCUUGAUGUUUCCAGGCUCUUUCAGGAAAUAGCUGGACAGAAAUCAGUGUACAUUUUAUAUGAGAGAUUUAAGAAAUUUGCCCUGAAGCAUCCAGCAUAUCCCAAGUUAUUUAAUUCACUCCUAGACCUCCAGGCAGCCUAUAUAUAUUCAUUACCCCAAAAAGUACAGUUUUAAUCACUGUAUUCAAAUGUUACAAGUUAGCCCGGAAAAUAGUGAAAGUAUCUUCUAGAUAGAAAUGAUGAU